GUGGUAAUGCCGGAUGCUCCAUCACACCGCAUGGUGUGUUGGGAAAGCCUUUGCGGCAUGGGAUGGGGUCGCGUCCUAUCAGCUUGAUGGCGGGGUAACGGCCCACCAUGGCUUCGACGGGUAGCCGGCCUGAGAGGGCGACCGGCCACAUUGGGACUGAGAUACGGCCCAGACUCCUACGGGAGGCAGCAGUGGGGAAUAUUGCACAAUGGGCGCAAGCCUGAUGCAGCGACGCCGCGUGAGGGAUGGAGGCCUUCGGGUUGUAAACCUCUUUUGUUAGGGAGCAAGGCACUUUGUGUUGAGUGUACCUUUCGAAUAAGCACCGGCUAACUACGUGCCAGCAGCCGCGGUAAUACGUAGGGUGCAAGCGUUAUCCGGAAUUAUUGGGCGUAAAGGGCUCGUAGGCGGUUCGUCGCGUCCGGUGUGAAAGUCCAUCGCUUAACGGUGGAUCCGCGCCGGGUACGGGCGGGCUUGAGUGCGGUAGGGGAGACUGGAAUUCCCGGUGUAACGGUGGAAUGUGUAGAUAUCGGGAAAGAACACC
Molecule: ribosomal RNA, 541 nt
Filed under: Bifidobacterium breve
Lineage: Bacteria; Bacillati; Actinomycetota; Actinomycetes; Bifidobacteriales; Bifidobacteriaceae
Description: bacterial SSU rRNA
Rfam family: Bacterial small subunit ribosomal RNA
Source: RNAcentral